This is a long non-coding RNA of Suricata suricatta (meerkat), 947 nucleotides long. RefSeq lists it as uncharacterized. The record is from RefSeq and is a predicted model, not a curated record. NCBI's taxonomy places the organism in Eukaryota, Metazoa, Chordata, Mammalia, Carnivora, Herpestidae. The transcript is spliced from 4 exons.
UGCAACAGCACUUAAUGUUAUUAUUUAUAAAUUUGCAGCCAUCAUUCACCCCCACAGAAGAACGCUUCUGCAUGUUCUGUGCAGCGAGGAAGUGCACAGGGCUCAGAGACUGCUCACAUUCUCCUGCUUACACUUUACGGACUUCAGGCUGAAGGAUGAAAUUGUACUCUCAGGUCUCAUCUAGAGACGUGAGAUACCCAGAACACCUGCAACGGGACAGAUUACUCAAAGUCAGGCUUCAACCAAAAAUGCAACCGAGCAGCGGCCAUGUGAGCAGGAGUGAGGCUCACCUAAGCAAGCUGGAGCCACCAGCCCCUACCUCCCACAACCCCCUCCCACAGCCAGACCCGGGGCUCCAGCCCGAAUGCAGCCAGGGAGGGAUGAGGGCCCAGGGGGGCCACAUCGCUUAGGAGUUAUCACAUUGGAGCGUGUGUUCCUCGGAGGGGCAGGCUGGGGUCUCAUUUGCCUUGGACCCCCUCCAAACACUAGCACAGCAAUGUCCACCUAUGGAUGUGAGGAUCAGAUGACGGGGCCAAACGUGUGACUACCUGUAGAAGUGGUAACAACUACGUCGGAGGUCUUCACCAGCUGGGGUUCAGUCUAGUCAGAUGACCAAGCGAGGCGGGCUUGUCGCGCAGGCCGACACAAUCUUGGAAUCAGAACGAUAAAUACAUUGCAAGAGAGUUACAGGUGCAAAAUUGCACAUAUAAGUUUGACAUUGAUUCAUGUCAAGUGAACUUUAACUGCUAUUUCCAAUUCUCCUCCCAAUUUGACAUCAGAGCUAUUGCUUACAAGCUCCUUUGAGUCAAAACCAUCCUCCACAAAUAGCCCCCGGCAUCCUGCCCAUGGUACUCUAUCCGCUGUACUCCCUUGCACUUGUCCUCCGCCAGGGUUCAGCCCUCACAUCUGAUCCACAAAACUAUCUCGGACUAUAAAGUUUCAUUUCA